This 92-nucleotide microRNA precursor is filed under the name Pelobates cultripes (western spadefoot toad). The record is from RNAcentral. Lineage: Eukaryota; Metazoa; Chordata; Amphibia; Anura; Pelobatidae.
AACUGGUUAUAAUGGCAAUGACUAUGGUGAAAUAGUAAUAAUAAUACUGAAGUAUUAUUAUUACUAUUUCACCAUAGUCAUUGCCAUUAAUG